GCACAGUCAGGUCCAUAUUUAAUGUGAUUUAUAAUUGGACAUAUCUUUAUUCAAAUUUGAUAUUUGCGAAGAUAUGAACAAUUAUUAUGUUUCUAUGUAAUGUUUCAUAGUUGAUUCCUUAUUGUAUGGGCUUAACUAGGUCCAUUUGCCAAUGGCAUUUUCAUAGAAAGGUGUGAAAUGUUUGGUGAAAGUAACACAUCUUUGUGUGCUAUUCAAGCGGACCCAAAUCAUUCAAAUCCAUCCCAAGUAAUGGAAACCGAGAAGAAAUUAUUAGCGCAAGAUAUGUCACACACCCACUAAGAUCAUAAUUAUUUUCCAAACAUAGGUUCUCAGGUUGACAUUAAUCAUUUAAAAUCAUAAAUAACAAUUUUGCAACAAUAAACCAUCUUACAUACUCUCUCUUACACUAACCACAACUUCCAACACACGAAUAAGCUCAAAAGGUCACACACUUUUAGAAUUGAUGGGUUAAGAAAGAAGGCAUGUCUUUUCUUAAAGUACGAAUCCAAGAUUAAAAUAUGUACUUCUCGUAACACACACAUUGCAUCGCCAAAUAUUGUUUCGACAAUUUUUUAAAUCUGCACAUGUGGCAUUCUUACCUCUAAAUUCAAUUCUUAGCUACACCAAAGUGGUUGUAUUAAUUCUGUGUUGCUCACCAACAUAAAGUUAAUAGGUUUUCUUAGCCUUUCUAUAUGGGAGUGGAUUUUUGGAUCCCGAGCUCCAUGGAGCUCAAAAUUUUGAAAAAUACAUAUAGAAAACAAAUUUUAUAGUUUCAGAAAUUUGUGACUAAAUUGCACAUGUAUUGAUGUAUAUAGUGAUGUAUGCUUCAUCUAUGUAAAUAUUCAUGAUGGAAUACAUUUCGAUGUGGUCCAAAAACCAAAGAAACCAUUGAACCUUGAUAGUGAAUAAUACAUGUGUUAGGAAGCCAUUGUUUGUUUAGCUCAAUGGUACAUAUUUCAUAAUAAAAAUUAUAGACAUGUGAUAUACAUCCUUAUUUACAUAUAUAAAUUUUUUCAGAUUUUUUAUAAAUUUUAAAAGUUCGUUUCUGAUUUUUUCCAAAAAUAGGUUCCAGGGAGCCCGAGCUCUAUUAUGUAAUUCCUCUCUAUAUGGCUAAUAUUCAAGCAACACUUAUGUCCAUUGUGGAGUUGUCGACCAUUUUUUGCCUGUUGUUUUUAUUCUCAAUUAUUAUUUCUAUUAGGACUUGUAUUAUCUAGAUGGCGCAAUAUGUUGUUAUCACGUAAAUUCGCGAAGAGAGAAAAUAUAGUUGAGCAAACUUAGAAUUCUGUUCUUGUAAGUAACUCAAGAAAUGAUUAUCUACGGUUUCAUAUCUAGUUGUUAAAAUAAUGGAAUUUGCAUUCAAUGAAAAGUGCCACUUGCAGUCUCCCACUAGCUACAUAUUUCUAGAGAACUGUGCAUUACACUUUUUACUAUUAUUGUAAAAGUUGGCAUUCGGUAGUUUCUUGGACUGGAAUGGUUCAAGAUGGAUCCUGAAGAUGUAGGAAGUUACCCUAUACACACACAAGGAUGCUCUACAGAUUUGCAAUAUUCAUACCCCUGUGCCAUGAGAGUAGUAAAUCACGUGAGCAUCAGAUUUGCAAUAUCAACCCUAAUACUACAUGAUGCUUGUACAGAUUAAUCAUCAGAAGCAUCUAGAGCAGCAACACAUCUUUCUGGUGAAUGGAAACGAAGGUUGGAGGAACACACCAAUGCUCAUCUUCAGUCCAGUGGAUCCCUUUCGGGGUUCCCGCUCGACAAACUUUGAUUAGGCCUUUUGUCCAUGUCUUCCCCGUCAUCC
RNAcentral lists this long non-coding RNA (1795 nucleotides) under Hordeum vulgare. RNAcentral describes it as "long non-coding RNA (HVUL_LNC005887)". The record is from RNAcentral. Lineage: Eukaryota; Viridiplantae; Streptophyta; Magnoliopsida; Poales; Poaceae.